This 549-nucleotide ribosomal RNA is filed under the name uncultured bacterium. RNAcentral describes it as "bacterial SSU rRNA". It matches the Rfam family "Bacterial small subunit ribosomal RNA", at positions 355 to 896 of the family's 1533-position model. The record is from RNAcentral.
UGGGGAACAUUGGACAAUGGGCGAAAGCCUGAUCCAGCCAUGCCGCGUGUGUGAAGAAGGCCUUUUGGUUGUAAAGCACUUUAAGUGGGGAGGAAAAGCUUAUGGUUAAUACCCAUAAGCCCUGACGUUACCCACAGAAUAAGCACCGGCUAACUCUGUGCCAGCAGCCGCGGUAAUACAGAGGGUGCAAGCGUUAAUCGGAAUUACUGGGCGUAAAGCGCGCGUAGGUGGUUAUUUAAGUCAGAUGUGAAAGCCCCGGGCUUAACCUGGGAACUGCAUCUGAUACUGGAUAACUAGAGUAGGUGAGAGGGGAGUAGAAUUCCAGGUGUAGCGGUGAAAUGCGUAGAGAUCUGGAGGAAUACCGAUGGCGAAGGCAGCUCCCUGGCAUCAUACUGACACUGAGGUGCGAAAGCGUGGGUAGCAAACAGGAUUAGAUACCCUGGUAGUCCACGCCGUAAACGAUGUCUACCAGUCGUUGGGUCUUUUAAAGACUUAGUGACGCAGUUAACGCAAUAAGUAGACCGCCUGGGGAGUACGGCCGCAAGGUUA